Molecule: long non-coding RNA, 137 nt
Organism: Dermochelys coriacea (leatherback sea turtle)
Lineage: Eukaryota; Metazoa; Chordata; Testudines; Dermochelyidae
Exons: 3
Source: RefSeq, a predicted model, not a curated record
GUAGCAGCCGUUGGAUGUAUUAUCAGGGCUUUGGAGCUGUGCUCCGGCUCUGCUCCAGCUCCACACAAAAACCUGCAGCUCCUCUGUUCCAGAGCUGCUCCGCGCUCCAGCUUCAGGCUCUGCUCCAAAGCCCUGAU